CAGAGAAUUUUCAAAUUGCGAUAUAUUGCGAUGCGAAAGCAUAUAUUACGAUAUUAUUUUUAAACAAAAAACUACUUAUCAUCGAGUCAAUGCUUGAUUUAUGAAGCAUGCACACAACAAAAUGACUAUGCUUGAUGAAGCUUUAGUAUAACUUUUAAUCAUGACAAAAUAAAAAUGUAAAGAAUAUUUGGCACAAAU
Haliotis rubra (blacklip abalone) is the source of this 198-nucleotide long non-coding RNA. RefSeq lists it as uncharacterized. The record is from RefSeq and is a predicted model, not a curated record. The transcript is spliced from 2 exons. Lineage: Eukaryota; Metazoa; Mollusca; Gastropoda; Lepetellida; Haliotidae.